This 549-nucleotide ribosomal RNA is filed under the name uncultured bacterium. Its description in RNAcentral is "bacterial SSU rRNA". It matches the Rfam family "Bacterial small subunit ribosomal RNA", at positions 356 to 896 of the family's 1533-position model. The record is from RNAcentral.
GGGGAAUCUUCCGCAAUGGACGAAAGUCUGACGGAGCAACGCCGCGUGAGUGAUGACGGCCUUCGGGUUGUAAAGCUCUGUUAAUCGGGACGAAAGGCCUUCUUGCGAACAGUUAGAAGGAUUGACGGUACCGGAAUAGAAAGCCACGGCUAACUACGUGCCAGCAGCCGCGGUAAUACGUAGGUGGCAAGCGUUGUCCGGAAUUAUUGGGCGUAAAGCGCGCGCAGGCGGAUUGGUCAGUCUGUCUUAAAAGUUCGGGGCUUAACCCCGUGAUGGGAUGGAAACUGCCAAUCUAGAGUAUCGGAGAGGAAAGUGGAAUUCCUAGUGUAGCGGUGAAAUGCGUAGAUAUUAGGAAGAACACCAGUGGCGAAGGCGACUUUCUGGACGAAAACUGACGCUGAGGCGCGAAAGCCAGGGGAGCGAACGGGAUUAGAUACCCCGGUAGUCCUGGCCGUAAACGAUGGGUACUAGGUGUAGGAGGUAUCGACCCCUUCUGUGCCGGAGUUAACGCAAUAAGUACCCCGCCUGGGGAGUACGACCGCAAGGUUG